AUUGAACGCUGGCGGCAUGCCUUACACGUGCAAGUCGAACGGUAACAGGUCUUCGGAUGCUGACGAGUGGCGAACGGGUGAGUAAUACAUCGGAACGUGCCCGAUCGUGGGGGAUAACGAAGCGAAAGCUUUGCUAAUACCGCAUACGAUCUACGGCUGAAAGCAGGGGACCGCAAGGCCUUGCGCGAACGGAGCGGCCGAUGGCAGAUUAGGUAGUUGGUGGGAUAAAAGCUUACCAAGCCGACGAUCUGUAGCUGGUCUGAGAGGACGACCAGCCACACUGGGACUGAGACACGGCCCAGACUCCUACGGGAGGCAGCAGUGGGGAAUUUUGGACAAUGGGCGAAAGCCUGAUCCAGCCAUGCCGCGUGCAGGAUGAAGGCCUUCGGGUUGUAAACUGCUUUUGUACGGAACGAAAAGACUCUGGUUAAUACCUGGGGUCCAUGACGGUACCGUAAGAAUAAGCACCGGCUAACUACGUGCCAGCCGCCGCAGUAA
This 498-nucleotide ribosomal RNA is filed under the name uncultured bacterium. RNAcentral's name for it is "partial 16S ribosomal RNA". It matches the Rfam family "Bacterial small subunit ribosomal RNA", at positions 30 to 523 of the family's 1533-position model. The record is from RNAcentral.